CCUACGGGUGGCUGCAGUGAGGAAUAUUGGUCAAUGGGCGAGAGCCUGAACCAGCCAAGUCGCGUGAAGGAUGACGGCCCUACGGGUUGUAAACUUCUUUUGUCAGGGAGCAAUUGGGUCCACGCGUGGGCUUAGCGAGAGUACCUUCAGAAAAAGCAUCGGCUAACUGCGGGCCAGCAGCCGCGGUAAUACGGAGGAUGCGAGCGUUAUCCAGUUUGUGUGGGGUUACAGGGUGAGUAGGCAGAAUAUCAAGGCAGCGGUAAAACUUCGGGGAUCACCCCCGUCGUGCCGUUGAAACUGAUGUUCUUGAGUCGGCGAGAAGUAUGCGGAAUGCGUGGUGUAGCGGUGAAAUGCAUAGAUAUCACGCAGAACUCCGAUUGCGAAGGCAGAAUACCGGCGCCCAACUGACGCUGAAGCACGAAAGCGUGGGUAUCGAACAGGAUUAGAUACCCCUGUAGUC
RNAcentral lists this ribosomal RNA (460 nucleotides) under uncultured bacterium. RNAcentral's name for it is "partial 16S ribosomal RNA". It matches the Rfam family "Bacterial small subunit ribosomal RNA", at positions 338 to 795 of the family's 1533-position model. The record is from RNAcentral.